Cannabis sativa is the source of this 2772-nucleotide long non-coding RNA. RefSeq lists it as uncharacterized. NCBI's taxonomy places the organism in Eukaryota, Viridiplantae, Streptophyta, Magnoliopsida, Rosales, Cannabaceae. The record is from RefSeq and is a predicted model, not a curated record. The transcript has 3 exons.
UUAAAAAAGGCAAAAUUCUCAAGCCCCUUUCUUCAGAUGAUUCUCUUCAGCCGCAUCUCCACUUCAGCCCUCUCCCUAAACGCAAAAUCCUUCCGAUUCUCUUCAGUCGCAUCUCCUCUUCAGACGACGAUGAGAACUCACCCUAACCACCUCCUCUUCAGACGAUUCGACGGUGGUCUGUGGUCUCUCUUCUCCCAUGAUAUUGCUCAAUCCUUCUUAUUCUUCUUUCCCAGUCAUACAAACCCAGCCGCACCUCUGGCUGUUCUCCAACCCUCUCUCUGUCCAAGCUUCGAUCAACGACGUCCCCCUCUCUUCGAGCUUCGAUAGACGACGCUCCUCUCUCUCUCUCUCUCCGAGCUUCAAUCAGUGGCACCCCUCUUGCCAAAAAUCCUAAAAUCGCCUCUUGUCCCUCAUCCCUCCAACCACCCUUCUCUCUCCCUCUGUUCAUCUUUCUUUCGGACAACCAUCGACGAGCCUAUCUCUCCGAUCUCAAAUUGAGAGAAUUAAAAUAAAGAAAACUGAGUUUGGGUUUGAGGAAGAAGAAGAAGAGUAAGCGGCAGCAGUAGCAGCAGCAACCAUGAAUAUAAUGGAAACAUCAAUAAUACAUCAUGUAUGAAUUGUGCUACUUAGUCUAUUGUUUCUUGCUGAAUUCAAUUGGUGUCACCAUGUGGCUUACUUCGUUUUCCUGAUUUAUUUGUAUAUAGUACUGUUUUCAUUCUUUAAAAAUUUUUGGUUUUUCUUUACAAGUUUUGUAUUAUUAAAUUGAAAAAGUAAAGUACUGUACUCUCUAUUGUAGAAGGAAUAUUGUGCGAACGCAUAUGUUUAUCUUUUAAUUUGUUAAACUUCACUUUUCAAGGGUAUUUUUUUUCUCUAGCAAAUGAGUAAAUAUAUGUAUGUUUGAACUGGGUUUGGUCUAAACUAGUGUUUCUUUUUUAGUCUAAAUAGAGAGCUUUAAAUGAUAGUUUGAUUUGCAUUUUUAAUAGGUUCAUGAGCAUUGUGUUAUGCAAUUGAAGAAAAAAGUGAAGUUUUAAGAAAGAAAACAAAGUUAACGAAAAAGGGUAAGUUUUUAUUUAUGAAUUUAUAUUUCAUAAUGAUUUUGCUUAUUUUUUAUUGAUGAAUUUAUUUUUCUUUGGCAUAUCCAAAUUAGUGAAUCAUCAAUGCAAUUAAAAUUGAAUGUAAAACUCAUAUUGGCAAGUUAAAGGGGAUGACUUUGCGGUUGUACUAGUUUUAUCUGCAACCACAACUUUGUUGAAACUUGCUAUUUCUUUUCAUCUGUACUAAUCUGUGAUUUUAAAAGAUGUGUCUUGUAUAAUAGGAUUAGCUGUUGACAUAAAUGGUUGCUGAUAUCCUUUCUUGGAUGAUAAAAUCCUGCAAAUUGUAAUUUUUUAUUUGGAAAAAAGUGAACAGUCUGUGAUAUAUUACAUUUAUAAAUGGACAACUCUACCUCAAAGUUGCUUUGAAACUCAAACUUGUUUUUUUAUUAAUUUUGGUUGGACUAGGAAUAGUAUUUUUUUGUAUUAAAAUAAACAUUGACUAUCUUUGAAAUUUGUCAUAAUUAAAUAUGACAUAGAAGUAUACACUUUUUCUAUGAUUUAGGGUAAUUAGGCAUGAGGUUCUUACAUUAAUUUUCGAGUCGUUUAGUCUUUUGUCUAUUUACCAAUUUAUUUUUCAGCUAAGUUUUUGUGUUUUCUAAUUUGUACUAAAUGAACUUCAUGAUAUGUGCUAACCCUAUAGGUAUUCAUUAAGUUGCUUUUUUGAAAAAAUUGAGGUUUGUUUCUUUCUUCACAACAUGAAGUCAUUGAUACUAGUACUUAUAGUUUUUGUUCUAAUGAUGUACUUAACACACCUUAUGUUCAUUUGUAGUCUAAGGGAGAAUGCACAAAAUCAAGGUAAUGCAAAGUAGAGAAUUAUUUAUUUAGGAAUGUGUUGUGAUCACUUGAGUAAUUAGAGUCAAGCAUUUUACAAUUUGAAUUCUUAGGCCAAAAAGAUGUGUUUCCUCUACAAUAAGUUACCAUAUUUUUUCUGCCUGUUUGUUGUUGUGUUGGUAUACUGUUUGAUAAGCCAAUUCUCAUCUUUUGAUAACAUUUUCUUUAAUUAUGUAUUUAAAAAACUAAUUUUUUUAUACACAUAAAAUAAAGACAAAACUAAUUUUGUGCUAUAGUCCCACAAUAAUAACUAUAGGAUGCUAAUGUUGUUGUUACAUAUUGUUAUUGCAGCCAUAAGAAAACAAUUUUGAAUUUAUAUUAUUUGAAUCACUUGUUGGACCAAUAGUGAGUGGAAAAGGGGAGACUUUUCUACUAAAUGAAAUGGUUUUGUUUUGGAAAAGAGGGGACUAGGGAAGAGAGAAGCUUCCAGCAUGAUUGAAGAGAAUUCAAACUAUUGGGAAUUAAAUGCAAAGUUUAAAAACUUAAGAACAUGAAAACCUUCCCUCGCACCAGGAUACAUUUGUUCGUUCUUUUCACUAGCUUGCUGAAAAGUUGUAAGUAGUAUAGUGUCUUAUUUUAUGUGUACAAAGAAUUCUUAAGUUUUCUAUAUUUUCAAAUUAUAGAUUAAAGGUUACUACUUUUGUUAUAAUACAUGAGUAACAAGUUUUAUGAUUAUUGUUAUCUUUUGCAUAUGUAAUUAGUUUAUAUUUAGUUUACGUACAAUGGAAUUUAAGUUUUAUGAUCGAUUCUAUUAACAAUUUUGGUAUUGUGUGAUUAGUUAAUAGAAUCGAUUACUAAUUUUAUGUAAGUUUUACAAAUGUUAUUUUAACUUUUUUUGUAUUAUGUA